This 215-nucleotide ribosomal RNA is filed under the name uncultured bacterium. RNAcentral describes it as "partial 16S ribosomal RNA". It matches the Rfam family "Bacterial small subunit ribosomal RNA", at positions 524 to 736 of the family's 1533-position model. The record is from RNAcentral.
UACGUAGGGACCAAGCGUUGUCCGGAAUCAUUGGGCGUAAAGAGCGUGUAGGCGGCUUGUUAAGUCUUGCGUGAAAUCUCGGGGCUCAACCCCGAGCGGUCGUGAGAAACUGGCAGGCUAGAGUGCGGGAGAGGAGAGUGGAAUUCCUGGUGUAGCGGUGAAAUGCGCAGAUAUCAGGAGGAACACCGGUGGCGAAGGCGGGGUCUCUGGGGCCG